GAAGAUGAAAGCUUCUACUUCCUUUUUCUUGGAACACUUGCUGGUGAAACAGUCUUGCUUGGAACCUGGCUACCAUGCCAAGAGGAAGCCCAGCCCCUUCAUGUUUGAAAGAGGGGAUUGAAUGGAAUUGCUGUGCUUACCAGUCAAAAAUAACUUGCAGUUUCCGGAAGAACGUGCAUCUUGCAAGAAGCCCUGGAAUCUGCUGCCCGGCACAGAAUGUCGGUCAGGGUUGAACCCCUCUCUCUCCGGCUUUGCUUGGCUUUCCUUUCACCACCUGUUACCUCAUUUCAUUCAGAAUUCCUGUUGGUUUCUGCGCUGGAAUCCCUGAUUUUCCUCAAGUGUGGAAAACACAGCACUGAUGAGAUACCAGUUGCUUUUCAGCGGUAAACUGACAGACUUGUAAGAAAUCAUGACUGUUGUGUAUUUAUUUUUAUAGUUCUCUUAUGUUUUGGUGAGAAAUACUGGGCUUCUAGUUAGUAUAGCAAUAAACUAUUUCCCUUAUAUUUAGCUCUACUUAUUUACUUUUUUUUUUUUAAUACAGAUAACUCUUGUUUGUUUAUUUUAGAGACAGAGUCUUGCUCUGUCGCCCAGGCUGGAGUGCAAUGGUAUGAUCUCGGCUCACUGCAGCCUUGAACUAACUCCUAAGCUCAAGCGAUUCUCCUACCUCAGCCUCCU
Molecule: long non-coding RNA, 675 nt
Filed under: Homo sapiens (human)
Lineage: Eukaryota; Metazoa; Chordata; Mammalia; Primates; Hominidae
Description: HSALNT0385680
Source: RNAcentral